UUACUCUGUUACCUAGGCUGGAGUGCAGGACACAAUUACAACUCACUGAAGCUUCAACCUUUUGAGCGCAAGUGAUCUCCUUCCUCAGCAAAGGAAAGAAGUUUCCAGAAGGAAAGAAACUGGAAGAAAAGUGGAACUGUGGAAGUUCUCUCUGCAGAUCAACGAGCAUGACAGUCUGUGAAAAAAGCCUGAACUAGUGCUGCGUAAGGACACUGAAGUCUAAGGUAAGUGAGAAGAAUAUAAAAGACCUCUUGUUGCUUUAUGUGGGAUACAGCCUAGGUGACCCUAUCACGGCUUCUAGGAGGACUUUCAUCUGCUGUAGACACCUACAACACGCUAUGCUGUCUUGGUGUAAAAUCACAAUUUAUUGUAAUUAAUUACCACUCAGAAGGUCAAACUUUUGAGCAUAAGCAUUAUAUUCUGUUCAUUGUUGAUGUCUCAGUGCCUAUCCUAGCAGAAAGUCCUCAGUAAAUACAUGUUUUAUUAAUUAACUACAAAUCAGGGUACUGAGAAAACUUGUAAAUUAAAUUAUUGGUCCAUGCUAACAAACCU
Non-coding RNA from Macaca mulatta (Rhesus monkey), 552 nucleotides. The record is from RefSeq and is a predicted model, not a curated record. Lineage: Eukaryota; Metazoa; Chordata; Mammalia; Primates; Cercopithecidae.